Molecule: ribosomal RNA, 866 nt
Filed under: uncultured beta proteobacterium
Lineage: Bacteria; Pseudomonadati; Pseudomonadota; Betaproteobacteria
Description: bacterial SSU rRNA
Rfam family: Bacterial small subunit ribosomal RNA
Source: RNAcentral
CCGCGGGAUUAGAGUUUGAUCCUGGCUCAGAUUGAACGCUGGCGGCAUGCCUUACACAUGCAAGUCGAACGGCAGCACGGGGUAACCUGGUGGCGAGUGGCGAACGGGUGAGUAAUAUAUCGGAACGUACCCUGGAGUGGGGGAUAACGUAGCGAAAGUUACGCUAAUACCGCAUACGAUCUAAGGAUGAAAGUGGGGGAUUCGCAAGAACCUCAUGCUCGUGGAGCGGCCGAUAUCUGAUUAGCUAGUUGGUAGGGUAAAAGCCUACCAAGGCAUCGAUCAGUAGCUGGUCUGAGAGGACGACCAGCCACACUGGAACUGAGACACGGUCCAGACUCCUACGGGAGGCAGCAGUGGGGAAUUUUGGACAAUGGGCGAAAGCCUGAUCCAGCAAUGCCGCGUGAGUGAAGAAGGCCUUCGGGUUGUAAAGCUCUUUUGUCAGGGAAGAAACGGUGUUUUCUAAUACAGAAUGCUAAUGACGGUACCUGAAGAAUAAGCACCGGCUAACUACGUGCCAGCAGCCGCGGUAAUACGUAGGGUGCAAGCGUUAAUCGGAAUUACUGGGCGUAAAGCGUGCGCAGGCGGUUUUGUAAGUCUGACGUGAAAUCCCCGGGCUCAACCUGGGAAUCGCGUUGGAGACUGCAAGGCUAGAGUUUGGCAGAGGGGGGUAGAAUUCCACGUGUAGCAGUGAAAUGCGUAGAUAUGUGGAGGAACACCGAUGGCGAAGGCAGCCCCCUGGGUCAAGACUGACGCUCAUGCACGAAAGCGUGGGGAGCAAACAGGAUUAGAUACCCUGGUAGUCCACGCCCUAAACGAUGUCUACUAGUUGUCGGGUCUUAUUGACUUGGUAACGCAGCUAACGCGUG